RNAcentral lists this ribosomal RNA (119 nucleotides) under Oncorhynchus mykiss (rainbow trout). Lineage: Eukaryota; Metazoa; Chordata; Actinopteri; Salmoniformes; Salmonidae. The record is from RNAcentral.
GUUUACGGCCACGCCGGCCUGAGUACGCCUGAUCUCGUCCGAUCUCGGAAGCUAAGCAGGGUCGGGCCUGGUUAGUACUUGAAUGGGAGACCGCCUGGGAAUACCAGGUGCUGUAAGCU